Long non-coding RNA from Herpailurus yagouaroundi (jaguarundi), 327 nucleotides. RefSeq lists it as uncharacterized. NCBI's taxonomy places the organism in Eukaryota, Metazoa, Chordata, Mammalia, Carnivora, Felidae. The transcript has 3 exons. The record is from RefSeq and is a predicted model, not a curated record.
CCAGCUCACUGAAGUCCGUCUGGGGGCAGGGCAGCGGCAGAGGAGCGGUGAGGCUGGUGCCUCCUGAGAACGCUGGUCCAGCAGCCGUCUGCCCCUCACAGCCCUGCCCCUGUCCCCCCUCUCCCGUGCCCCUCCCGGCGUCCUUCCCUUGCUUCAGCACCUCUGGCCGUUGCCCACCAAAAGGAAACCCAGCUAUUCGUACUGGGCACGACAUCUGCCUGUCUGGCUUAUCAGGUGCAGAAGUGUUGACUGAAUAUCCUGGACAAAUGCUGUAAAGGAAAAGCCACCUCUUCCCCAGGUCUGCCGGCACAGUUACCGUCUUCAAAA